UUUGAGUGAAGCUCAAUUGCUUCGCAGAUCAAUGCCAAGAAUUGAAUCUGCCUCUCAAUCAGCAGCAAUGCGGCAAACUCUGCAGCUGAAGCUCUAAAUCUUUCUGUGUAGCGGGAGGAGGCGAGCUCAUCUGCCCGCAUAUAUGCAUUUAUAUCCCAUUGUCCCAAGUUGUGUGUGAAGCUGGAGGAGUUGUUCUUUGUUGAUGCCUUAGCUCGAAGCCGUUUUACAUCGUGCCAUCAUUUGUGUUACAAAUCAAGCGCUGUAGACUCAGUUUUGUUUGCUCUGUCUCUCUGUCUCUCUCUCAUUUGGUUGGAAUGUAGAAUCAUGGAAUGGCUAUGUAAAUUUAUCUUGACAGAAAGAAAUCAAACCAAAAUUUAGAAAGAAAAAAAAAAAAGUUGAAA
Prunus avium (sweet cherry) is the source of this 401-nucleotide non-coding RNA. The record is from RefSeq and is a predicted model, not a curated record. Lineage: Eukaryota; Viridiplantae; Streptophyta; Magnoliopsida; Rosales; Rosaceae.